GAGGCCCUGAGAGGCAAAGGCCUAGCGGACUAGGCCUAGGGGUGGGGAAAUAAAUCAUUAAAACCUGCUGAUCCGGCAGGCUCGCUAUCAAUCCGGAGAUGCUGUGGAGGCGCCAGUUCUGCCAGGGCAACAGGCUGGAGCGGGGAGGCAGGAAGACAUGACCAUAAAACUUUGCAACAGCAGGAUGUUCCCUCAAGCUUGGCAAAUCUUCGGGUGAUCUCAGGAGAAGGAGGAAAAGAUAUCUCGAGAAGAGGAUGAUUCAGUUGGCCAACAGAAGGCCCGUUUCCUUGUAUCCUGCAGCAUAAAAUGAUAAAGCACGUUGCCAGGCCUGGGCUGGAAGCAGAGACCCUGGAUGCAGAAACCGAAAGCGAGGAAGCCCAAGACCGGCCCAGGCCAAACCUGAAGAGAACGUUUCCAUCAGAAUGCUUUUGGCUACGGGGAGCAGACAGCAUUGCCGACAGCGGCAGGAUCAGGCGAGUUUGUGAGGAAUCUGUCAGCGCAGGAGUUCUCCAGAUAGAAGCUCGACUCUCUCAGUUCCGAGUCUCUGCAUGGUCUCUCCUGCUGUCUGGCACUGCUGGCGUGUGUCCUCUUGCACAAAAGAACCACUGCGGCCUGGGUCCCUGACUUCCCUGCCGCCGUCCACUCUCCUCUGCUUUGCUGACAUCCAGCAGCGCUGCAGGGCCAUCUGGGUGUGCUGCUCUUCACCCAGCUGACUCCCUUUAGCUUCAGCUCGCCCGGAGGAAGGGCCCAGGCCUGCGAUACUGUCCCCGUUUCAGAGGUUAAUCACAAGCACGGUUUGUCUGUGCUCCGAAUUAAAAGAGAGGACCCCAAGGCCCUCUAGAGUUAUUCACUUGCCAGUUACUACAAAGGGUAGUAAGACAGCCAGACAACGGGUCAGAGGGCACUGGGACAGUUCCCUUCUGUCCUGGGAAGUCUGGGCCGCCUCCUGGCAUGGGGCUGCUUUCUUCCUCAUCAACCUGGUGAGGCCGAGGCUCAGAGAUCUUCUGGGUUUUCCUGGAGGCUCCAUCACAUAAGAGGGCUGAUUUAAUCACCA
Molecule: long non-coding RNA, 1054 nt
Organism: Condylura cristata (star-nosed mole)
Lineage: Eukaryota; Metazoa; Chordata; Mammalia; Eulipotyphla; Talpidae
Exons: 4
Source: RefSeq, a predicted model, not a curated record